AUCAAUGGUAUGGAAAAGCUCAUGUAAUUCUUCUCCACUCAGAACACCAUCUGCAAAAUACGCUUUGAAUUCUUCAAAGGACAAUUUUCCAUCAUCUGAAACGGUAAAUCUGGAUAAGCAGAGAUGGAAGAAACACAUUAAUAACAGAUGAAAGUAAAAGAUCUCUACAUGAUACAGCAGCACAGAAUGUAAGGGAGUGAAUGGACAUGAGCGAAAAGGAAAGCAUCCUUCCUUCUGUGCAAGAAGCUGGUUUGCUAGUUAUUUCAGGAAGCUGCCAGAUGACUUACGUGAUGGAACGAUCCUCUCCCUUUACAAAGAGACAGCAGCGGACUAAGGAGGAGGAACUCAGGGUCACAAAACUCCUGCCGUGUGGUCCUACCAACACUAUACUGAACAAAGUGGAGUUUGUCUUUGAGAAAAAGAUGAUAAGAUUUAGUAGGAUUGGACCUUCAAGACCCGCUGAGCUUAUUUUUUCCUCUAAAGAUGGCCCACAGACCAGUUUAAUUCAGUUAAAAUGUGGAUUCCUGGGCCCUACUAGAGAAUCCGAAUCUCAGAGAGGGCACGGAGGGGUGAGGCAGCGAAGGAAUCAGGAUUUUUCGUGACCUGUGAGACUCUUCCCCACAGUAACGCUUAAAAUAAAGGACACAACAGACUU
Leopardus geoffroyi (Geoffroy's cat) is the source of this 655-nucleotide long non-coding RNA. RefSeq lists it as uncharacterized. The record is from RefSeq and is a predicted model, not a curated record. NCBI's taxonomy places the organism in Eukaryota, Metazoa, Chordata, Mammalia, Carnivora, Felidae. The transcript is spliced from 2 exons.